Molecule: long non-coding RNA, 1398 nt
Organism: Oncorhynchus gorbuscha (pink salmon)
Lineage: Eukaryota; Metazoa; Chordata; Actinopteri; Salmoniformes; Salmonidae
Exons: 3
Source: RefSeq, a predicted model, not a curated record
UAUGCCCUGCCAGAUCUGCCCUGGUUAACUGGAAACUUCUAGGAGCAGCAACAACAGCUCAGACACUAAGUAGUAGGCCACACAAGCUCACAGAACGAGACCACUGAGUUUUUUGUUGUUGUUUUUUCACCUUUAUUUAACCAGUUGAAGUAAUCCCCAGCAAGGGUUAGGUGAUGACAAGGGGGCAGGUCACUAUGAACUUUAGUGAAGAAAAUGGUCACUCUGUAACCAAAUAGGUCCCGUACUCCUGAGGAGAGGGGCCGGAGAGAGAGGGAGAAUGCCCAAUGUAUGGGAAAGGAUGCCCUGCUCUUAUCAAAGCUAGCCACUGGCAAACAGUUGUUUUCUGUCCCUUUGAAAUCGAAAUCUGUGGUUGAAGAAGUGCUGAUGGAUUAAAUGUAGAAGUGGUGUCUUCCUACAUAAAACCCCACACUCUAAAACCACUUCACGCCACACGCAAUGAUGAAUAGAGAUUGCAGAGAUUUUUUAUUGCGAAAGCAUACCGUCAGAAAAGAAAUAGUGAAUUUGACAGUUUGUCGGAGUCCUCCUUUGGGGGGGAAGUGAAUGCAGACUUGAAAACCUUGUUCUAGGGCUCACAGAAGAUAAAGAAACACGUUUUGUGCCUCCAGUACAAAUGUUUACCCAACUAUUCAUUGCAUUUUAUGUACACUCGUGUUUUAGUAGAUACUCCACCAUGCAUGGAACAACACAGAAAUGACUGUGAAAUACAUUAUUCUUGCCCACAUUGUUUCUAGUGACUCUUGAAUGUAAAUCAAACCACUUUGGUUUUAGAGACCCUAAUGCUAGAUUGAGAGAUAUAAUGUUUGUUUAGAUCCUUUAAAAAAAUAGAAAUGUAGUUGAUAUUUUCACUCUCUUUGUUGUUUUCUAUUGGCGUGCACUUUUCUUUUUUGCACAAUCUCUAAUGUUUUUCUCUUCCAAAAGACUGCGGAAAAGUCUGCAGGUCUGCAAACCCCAAUGUAAGCUGCAGGAGCUUGUAGAUAGCAUUCGGAAAUCAGAAUACAAAAUACCUAUGAGCUACUUACAAUGCAAAUCAGAAGUGUGAACAGCCGUAAGAGGGCUCUUCAGUCAAGAAUGGGUAUUAAAAUGAAGUAAGAAUGCAGGGGAGAUAAAUAGAAGAAUAAGCAGAGUCUUGUAGAGGUUGAGUCAACAAUGGUUGUUUUCCAGUCACAACUCAUCCAUGGCCCACAGCAAGUUAGCAGAGAACAUUUUCAGCAUGAUUGAAGCACUCCAAUAUCACCUUCACCAUUUUUGUUACCACAUAGAAAAGGAGGUACACCCUUUUGUUGUUGACUUUUGGGUUUCCCCCAAAAAUAAGGAGUUUUUGAAAUAUGCUUUUCAUCUGUCUGUAAGGAAUGCCAACUGGUUGCAGCAUAUUUAAAU